Hordeum vulgare subsp. vulgare (domesticated barley) is the source of this 848-nucleotide long non-coding RNA. RefSeq lists it as uncharacterized. The transcript is spliced from 2 exons. The record is from RefSeq and is a predicted model, not a curated record. NCBI's taxonomy places the organism in Eukaryota, Viridiplantae, Streptophyta, Magnoliopsida, Poales, Poaceae.
UUAACUAUAGAUAAAUUGUUUUUACAUUGCAUUCUGUGUUGAAAGUUAGUUUUUUUGUACUAUUAUCUUAUUAGUAGUUACAUGUUCCAUGAGAAUUACAACGUAUUAGGCAAACAAUUCUCUCUAGUUAAAAGACUUUCCUUUUAAUGAUCAAAAUUCAAAACAAAGAUGUUCCACUACAAAUUAUGCUUCAAAUUUAAUUUGUAUAUUUUUUGUGUUUUACUCUCAUUGUCUAAAAACCUGUUCUUUUUUUAUACGUGUGGUAUGAAGCCAUGCGUGGUCUCAACCGUAGGAAGAAAAAGAUCAUCAAUAAAUGCAUCAUCACGAGGGGGAUAGAGCUGGAAUAUUCUGAGAUGGAAAAGAUGAUCAGAAAUGCGUUUGGACCAACAAAGUCUUCGUGAUGCGUCCUAGUGCACAGGAUUAGCAAAUGCGACGUUUCAUCUGGCUACAUGAGAAUCCCAAAAAAAGUGGUGCAACGUAUUGAGAAGAAAACGGGAAUUCUUGAGGAAGAAGGACAGCUUAUGCUUUUCCAUGAUGUUGAUGCAUAUGUUGAUGCUAGAUACAAGAAGCUUACGGAUGAGAGGCUCGUUCUACAGGGAGGUUUCAGGACUUAUGCACAUUUUCUUGGUUUGAAGGUUGACGAUUUGGUAUCAAAUUUUUUCGAGAAGGUUGAAGACCCUGCAGCGAUAAAAGUGUGGUUCACCGUCAUAUCUUAGACGACUUGCUGGGAACUUAAUGUAAUAUUGAAAUUAGAUUGAGAGAGAUGAAUUUGGACCUUCUAGUGUUUUGCGUAUGGCAGACGUGUUAGCUGCAUUUCCUAAACAAUAUCUAUACAUAACCUUUAAAUA